AAUAAAUCAAUUUUUCACUUUUUAUCUAUAAUCUUUGACGCUUCGUCUUAUUUAAAUUUUUUUGCUAUUGAUAUUUUUAUUUUUAUUAAAUGAUAAAUUAUGAAUAGUACUUUACGUGACUUUUUUUCUAAAUUUCUGAAAAUUUUUCAAAUAAAACGGAUGGUCAAAUGCUGGACACAAAAAUCGAAG
RNAcentral lists this microRNA precursor (189 nucleotides) under Oryza brachyantha (malo sina). RNAcentral's name for it is "MIR812 microRNA precursor family". It matches the Rfam family "MIR812 microRNA precursor family". Lineage: Eukaryota; Viridiplantae; Streptophyta; Magnoliopsida; Poales; Poaceae. The record is from Rfam by way of RNAcentral.